CUUAAACAAAAUUUUGGUAUAAAACUUGAUGAAGUGUCAUUUUUUUGCACUUAUUUAAGUCACAUCAUGUCUUAUGAUCUCGUGGUGCAACAAUUGUACAUGAAAUCUACGAUCAUAAAUGGUGUGUGUGACUUAAAAAAAUGAUAUUUCAUCAAGUUUUGGACCAAAAUUCUAUUUGGGUCGGGCGACCAAACUGGGGAGAAAUAAAAUAAGCAACUAUUUUCGUAAUUCAGCUAAAGUAGGGGACCAAAAUUGCACACUAGA
RNAcentral lists this long non-coding RNA (264 nucleotides) under Cicer arietinum (chickpea). Its description in RNAcentral is "long non-coding RNA (CARI_LNC000304)". Lineage: Eukaryota; Viridiplantae; Streptophyta; Magnoliopsida; Fabales; Fabaceae. The record is from RNAcentral.